GAUGAACGCUGGCGGCGUGCCUAAUACAUGCAAGUCGAGCGAACAGACGAGGAGCUUGCUCCUCUGACGUUAGCGGCGGACGGGUGAGUAACACGUGGAUAACCUACCUAUAAGACUGGGAUAACUUCGGGAAACCGGAGCUAAUACCGGAUAAUAUAUUGAACCGCAUGGUUCAAUAGUGAAAGACGGUUUUGCUGUCACUUAUAGAUGGAUCCGCGCCGCAUUAGCUAGUUGGUAAGGUAACGGCUUACCAAGGCAACGAUGCGUAGCCGACCUGAGAGGGUGAUCGGCCACACUGGAACUGAGACACGGUCCAGACUCCUACGGGAGGCAGCAGUAGGGAAUCUUCCGCAAAGGGCGAAAGCUUGACGGAGCAACGCCGCGAGAGUGAUGAAGGUCUUCGGAUCGUAAAACUCUGUUAUUAGGGAAGAACAAAUGUGUAAGUAACUAUGCACGUCUUGACGGUACCUAAUCAGAAAGCCACGGCUAACUACGUG
RNAcentral lists this ribosomal RNA (497 nucleotides) under uncultured bacterium. Its description in RNAcentral is "partial 16S ribosomal RNA". It matches the Rfam family "Bacterial small subunit ribosomal RNA", at positions 28 to 507 of the family's 1533-position model. The record is from RNAcentral.